AAUCAACGCUGGCGGCGUGCCUCAGACAUGCAAGUCGAACGAUUAAGACUCUCUUCGGAGAGUGUAUAAAGUGGCGCACGGGUGAGUAACACGUAGGUAAUGUACCGAAGGGUGGGGAAUAACUUAGGGAAACUUAAGCUAAUACCGCAUAAUGCAGCGGCUCGACAUCGAGACAGUUGUUAAAGGAGCAAUCCGCCUUUUGAGCAGCCUGCGGCAGAUUAGCUAGUUGGUAAGGUAAUGGCUUACCAAGGCUACGAUCUGUAACCGACCUGAGAGGGUGGUCGGUCACACUGACACUGAAUAACGGGUCAGACUCCUACGGGAGGCAGCAGUCGGGAAUUUUGGGCAAUGGGCGAAAGCCUGACCCAGCAACGCCGCGUGAAGGAUGAAGUAUUUCGGUAUGUAAGCUUCGUAAGAAUAGGAAGAAUAAAUGACGGUACUAUUUGUAAGGUCCGGCUAACUACGUGCCAGCAGCCGCGGUAAU
RNAcentral lists this ribosomal RNA (484 nucleotides) under uncultured bacterium. RNAcentral's name for it is "bacterial SSU rRNA". It matches the Rfam family "Bacterial small subunit ribosomal RNA", at positions 32 to 524 of the family's 1533-position model. The record is from RNAcentral.